UACGGGGGGAACAAGCGUUGUUCGGAUUUACUGGGCGUAAAGGGCGCGUAGGCGGCCAGCACAAGUCAGUUGUGAAAUCUCCGAGCUUAACUCGGAAAGGUCAACUGAUACUGUGCGACUAGAGUGCGGAAGGGGCAACUGGAAUUCUUGGUGUAGCGGUGAAAUGCGUAGAUAUCAAGAGGAACACCUGCGGCGAAGGCGGGUUGCUGGGCCGACACUGACGCUGAGGCGCGAAAGCUAGGGGAGCGAACGGG
This 254-nucleotide ribosomal RNA is filed under the name uncultured bacterium. RNAcentral's name for it is "partial 16S ribosomal RNA". It matches the Rfam family "Bacterial small subunit ribosomal RNA", at positions 524 to 776 of the family's 1533-position model. The record is from RNAcentral.